RNAcentral lists this non-coding RNA (46 nucleotides) under Trichobilharzia regenti. Lineage: Eukaryota; Metazoa; Platyhelminthes; Trematoda; Strigeidida; Schistosomatidae. The record is from RNAcentral.
GUGCUGAUGAAGAGUCCCAAACUAGGACGAAACAGCUGUCCAGCAC